RNAcentral lists this ribosomal RNA (918 nucleotides) under Talaromyces diversus. RNAcentral describes it as "partial large subunit ribosomal RNA". It matches the Rfam family "Eukaryotic large subunit ribosomal RNA", at positions 50 to 987 of the family's 3401-position model. The record is from RNAcentral. Lineage: Eukaryota; Fungi; Ascomycota; Eurotiomycetes; Eurotiales; Trichocomaceae.
UCGUUGGAAGAACCAACCGGGAUUGCCUCAGUAACGGCGAGUGAAGCGGCAAGAGCUCAAAUUUGAAAUCUGGCCCCCUCGGGGUCCGAGUUGUAAUUUGGAGAGGAUGCUUCGGGUGCGGUCCCCGUCUAAGUGCCCUGGAACGGGCCGUCAUAGAGGGUGAGAAUCCCGUCUGGGAUGGGCGGCCGCGCCCGUGUGAAGCUCCUUCGACGAGUCGAGUUGUUUGGGAAUGCAGCUCUAAGCGGGUGGUAAAUUUCAUCUAAAGCUAAAUACUGGCCGGAGACCGAUAGCGCACAAGUAGAGUGAUCGAAAGAUGAAAAGCACUUUGAAAAGAGAGUUAAACAGCACGUGAAAUUGUUGAAAGGGAAGCGUUGGCCCCCAGACGCGCCCAGGGGGGUUCAGCCGGCACGUGUGCCGGUGCACUCCCCCCUGGGUGGGCCAGCAUCGGUUUGGGCGGUCGCUGAAAGGCCCCGGGAAUGUAGCACCCUCCGGGGUGCCUUAUAGCCCGGGGUGUCAUGCGGCCCGCCUGGACCGAGGCCCGCGCUUCGGCGAGGAUGCUGGCGUAAUGGUGGUCAACGGCCCGUCUUGAAACACGGACCAAGGAGUCUAACAUCUAUGCGAGUGUUCGGGUGUCAAACCCGUCCGCGCAGUGAAAGCGAACGCAGGUGGGAACCCCUCCCGGGGCGCACCAUCGACCGAUCCUGAUGUCUUCGGAUGGAUUUGAGUAAGAGCAUAGCUGUUGGGACCCGAAAGAUGGUGAACUAUGCCUGAAUAGGGCGAAGCCAGAGGAAACUCUGGUGGAGGCUCGCAGCGGUUCUGACGUGCAAAUCGAUCGUCAAAUUUGGGUAUAGGGGCGAAAGACUAAUCGACCAUCUGGUAGCUGGUUCCUGCCGAAUUCCGCGGCAGGAUGAGCUACCG